AUUGAACGCUGGCGGCAGGCCUAACACAUGCAAGUCGAGCGGAUGAAGGGAGCUUGCUCCUGGAUUCAGCGGCGGACGGGUGAGUAAUGCCCAGGAAUCUGCCUGGUAGUGGGGGAUAACGUCCGGAAACGGGCGCUAAUACCGCAUACGUCCUGAGGGUGAAAGGGGGGGAUCUUCGGACCUCACGCUAUCAGAUGAGCCUAGGUCGGAUUAGCUAGUUGGUGGGGUAAAGGCCUACCAAGGCGACGAUCCGUAACUGGUCUGAGAGGAUGAUCGGUCACACUGGAACUGAGACACGGUCCAGACUCCUACGGGAGGCAGCAGUGGGGAAUAUUAGGCAAUGGGCGAAAGCCUGAUCCAGCCAUGCCGCGUGUGUGAAGAAGGUCUUCGGAUUGUAAAGCACUUUUAGUUGGGAGGAAGGGCUGUAAGUUAAUACCUUGCUGUCUUGACGUUACCAACAGAAUAAGCACCGGCUAACUUCGUG
Molecule: ribosomal RNA, 484 nt
Filed under: uncultured bacterium
Lineage: Bacteria
Description: partial 16S ribosomal RNA
Rfam family: Bacterial small subunit ribosomal RNA
Source: RNAcentral